AUACGUAGGGGGCGAGCGUUGUCCGGAAUGACUGGGCGUAAAGGGCGUGUAGGCGGUUGUCUAAGUCUGGAGUGAAAGGCCUGCUUUCAAGGUGGGGAUAGCUUUGGAUACUGGAUGACUUGAGUGCGGAAGAGGUAAGGGGAAUUCCCAGUGUAGCGGUGAAAAGCGUAGAGAUUGGGAGGAACACCAGUGGCGAAGGCGACUUACUGGGCCGUAACUGACGCUGAGGCGCGAAAGCGUGGGGAGCGAACAGGAUUAGAUACCCUGGUAGUCCACGCGGUAAACGAUGAAUGCUAGGUGUUGCGGGUAUCGACCCCUGCAGUGCCGGAGUAAACACAAUAAGCAUUCCGCCUGGGGAGUACGGCCGCAAGGUUGAAACUCAAAGGAAUUGACGGGG
This 397-nucleotide ribosomal RNA is filed under the name uncultured bacterium. Its description in RNAcentral is "partial 16S ribosomal RNA". It matches the Rfam family "Bacterial small subunit ribosomal RNA", at positions 523 to 918 of the family's 1533-position model. The record is from RNAcentral.